This 298-nucleotide unclassified non-coding RNA is filed under the name uncultured fungus. Its description in RNAcentral is "sequence contains ITS1". The stretch from base 1 to 105 matches the Rfam family "5.8S ribosomal RNA", at positions 50 to 154 of the family's 154-position model. Lineage: Eukaryota; Fungi. The record is from RNAcentral.
GAAAUGCAAUAAGUAGUGUGAAUUACAGAAUUUAGUAAAUCAUUAAAUCUUUAAACACACAUUGCGCCCUUUAGUAUUCUGUAAGGUAUACCUGUUUAAGCGUUAUUAAAAAACCUUUAAGCCCUGCUUAGUGUUAGGUGUUUGUCCUGCCCUAGUGCGUGGACUUGCCUUAAAACUAUUAGCAGCUAGUUUACUAGCUUUAGUGCAGCACAACGCGCUACAAGCACACUAAAUCUAGCCCCUAAAAGCCUCUUCUAAGUUUAACCUUAGAUUAGGUAGGAAUACCUGCUGAACUUAA